Rhea pennata is the source of this 114-nucleotide small nuclear RNA. RefSeq annotates it as U5 spliceosomal RNA. Lineage: Eukaryota; Metazoa; Chordata; Aves; Rheiformes; Rheidae. The transcript has a single exon. The record is from RefSeq and is a predicted model, not a curated record.
GAUCUCUGGUUUCCCUUCAGCUCAUAUAAAUCUUCCACUUUUUACUAAAGAUUUCCAUGGAGAGGAACAGGCAUGAGUUCUGAGGAAGUUUUUGAGGCUCCAUUUUGAAGGUUA